Molecule: ribosomal RNA, 510 nt
Filed under: Nadinetella crassi
Lineage: Eukaryota; Metazoa; Arthropoda; Insecta; Ephemeroptera; Teloganodidae
Description: partial small subunit ribosomal RNA 16S RNA
Rfam family: Bacterial large subunit ribosomal RNA
Source: RNAcentral
AAACAUGGCCUUUGGAGAAAAUAAAAGGUCCAACCUGCCCACUGAGAAUUAAAGGGCCGCGGUAAUUUGACCGUGCAAAGGUAGCAUAAUCAUUAGUCUCUUAAUUGGAGGCUAGCAUGAACGGUUAGACGAAAUAAAAGCUGUCUCAAUAUAAUAAAUGAAUUUUACUUUUUAGUGAAAAGGCUAGAAUGAAGUUGGAGGACGAGAAGACCCUAUAGAUCUUGAUAAAAUUAAUUUUAAGGAUUUGGUAAAAUUAGGGAUAAGAAAGCGUUUUAUUUGGUUGGGGUGAUUAUAAAAUAAAUAAACUUUUUUUACGAAAACAAUUUGUCUGGGUAAAAGAUCCAUUUUAAUGAUUAUAAGAUUAAGUUACCUUAGGGAUAACAGCAUAAUCUUUCUGGAGAGUUCUAAUCGAUAGAAAGGAUUGUGACCUCGAUGUUGGAUUAGAAUGGGGUUUAGGCGCAGAAGCUUAAAUUACCAAGUCUGUUCGACUUUUAAAAUUCUACGUGAUCU